GCUCCGGUAGAAAAGCCGUUAAGACGGUCUUUACCGAAUAUAGCCCGGUCAAGUAUUCCGGCCUUUCGAGCCGAAGACGCGGGUCCGAAUCCCGCCCGGAGCA
RNAcentral lists this transfer RNA (103 nucleotides) under Candidatus Bathyarchaeota archaeon. RNAcentral describes it as "tRNA-Glu". It matches the Rfam family "tRNA". Rfam says of the family: Transfer RNA (tRNA) molecules are approximately 80 nucleotides in length. Their secondary structure includes four short double-helical elements and three loops (D, anti-codon, and T loops). Lineage: Archaea; Thermoproteati; Candidatus Bathyarchaeota. The record is from RNAcentral.